RNAcentral lists this ribosomal RNA (382 nucleotides) under uncultured eukaryote. RNAcentral describes it as "partial 18S ribosomal RNA". It matches the Rfam family "Eukaryotic small subunit ribosomal RNA", at positions 592 to 976 of the family's 1831-position model. The record is from RNAcentral.
UGUAAGCGUAUACCAAAGUUGUUGCAGUUAAAACGCUCGUAGUCGGAAUUUGGCAGUUCCGGAUGUGUGCACGUCGUGUGCGCACUUCGCGGGGAUUGCUUUUGUGGUCUUGCGUAGGAUGAGGCACUUUUAUUAGUGAACGUCCUCACGCAACCACUUUUUACUGUGAGAAAAUCAGAGUGCUCAAAGCAGGCAUUUGCCGUGAAUGUAUUAGCAUGGAAUAAUAGAAUAGGACUUGGUUCUAUUUUGUUGGUUUGUUGGGACUGAGUAAUGAUUAAGAGGGACAGUUGGGGGCAUUUGGAUUUCGGUGCUAGAGGUGAAAUUCUUAGAUUACCGAAAGACAAACUGCUGCGAAAGCGUCUGCCAAGGAUGUUUUCAUUGA